AGAGUUUGAUCAGUGGCUCACAUUGAACGCUGGCGGCAGGCCUAUCACAUGCCAGUCGAGCGGUAGCACACAAAAUCUUGCUUCUUGGGUGACGAGCGGCGGACGGGUGAGUAACGCGUGGGAAUCUACCUGGUAGUGGGGGACAACAGUCGGAAACGACUGCUAAUACCGCAUACGCCCUUCGGGGGAAAGUGGGGGAUCUUCGGACCUCACGCUAUCACAUGAGCCCGCGUCGGAUUAGCUUGUUGGUGAGGUAAAGGCUCACCAAGGCUAUGAUCCGUAGCUGGUCUGAGAGGAUGACCAUCCACACUGGGACUGAGACACGGUCCAGACUCCUACGGGAGGCAGCAGUGGGGAAUAUUGGACAAUGGGGGCAACCCUGAUCCAGCCAUGCCGCGUGUGUGAAGAAGGCCUUCGGGUUGUAAAGCACUUUCAGCUGUGAGGAAAGGCAAGUGGUUAAUACCCGCUUGCUGUGACGUUAACAGCAGAAUAAGGACCGGCUAACUCCGUGCCAGCAGCCGCGGUAAUACGGAGGGUCCGAGCGUUAAUCGGAAUUACUGGGCGUAAAGCGCGCGUAGGUGGUUCAGAUCAGUCAGAUGUGAAAGCCCCGGGCUCAACCUGGGAACUGCACCUGAUACUGCUGAGCUAGAGUACGGUAGAGGGUAGUGGAAUUUCCGGUGCAGCGGUGAAAUGCGUAGAGAUCGGAAGGAACACCAGUGGCGAAGGCGCCUACCUGGACCGAUACUGACACUGAGGUGCGAAAGCGCGGGUAGCAAACAGGAUUAGAUACCGUGGUAGUCCACGCCGUAUACGAUGUCAACUAGCCGUUGGGGGACUUGAUCCUUCAGUGGCGAAGCUAACGCGAUAAGUCGACCGCCUGGGGAGUACGGCCGCAAGGUUAAAACUCAAACGAAUUGACGGGGGCCCGCACAAGCGGUGGAGCAUGUGGUCUAAUUCGAAGCAACGCGAAGAACCUUACCUACUCUCGACAUCCAGAGAACUUUCCAGAGAUGGAUUGGUGCCUUCGGGAACUCUGAGACAGGUGCAGCAUGGCUGUCGUCAGCUCGUGUUGUGAAAUGCUGGGUUAAGUCCCGUAACGAGCGCAACCCUUAUCCUUACUAGCCAGCGAGUAAUGUCGGGAACUCCAAGGAGACCGCCGGCGACAAACUGGAGGAAGGUGGGGAUGACGUCAAGUCAUCAUGGCCCUUACGAGUAGGGCUACACACGUGCUACAAUGGCCGGUACAGAGGGCUGCAAACUCGUGAGAGUAAGCUAAUCUCACAAACCCGGUCGUAGUCCGGAUCGCAGUCUGCAACUCGACGGCGCGAAGUCGGAAUCGCUAGUAAUCGUGAAUCAGAAUGUCACGGUGAAUACGUUCCCGGGCCUUGUACACACC
This 1396-nucleotide ribosomal RNA is filed under the name uncultured Marinobacterium sp. Its description in RNAcentral is "16S ribosomal RNA". It matches the Rfam family "Bacterial small subunit ribosomal RNA". Lineage: Bacteria; Pseudomonadati; Pseudomonadota; Gammaproteobacteria; Oceanospirillales; Oceanospirillaceae. The record is from RNAcentral.